This is a long non-coding RNA of Piliocolobus tephrosceles (Ugandan red Colobus), 2688 nucleotides long. The record is from Ensembl. NCBI's taxonomy places the organism in Eukaryota, Metazoa, Chordata, Mammalia, Primates, Cercopithecidae.
UGGUAUAGUUUUUAUACAUUAAUUUUUCAUAAUUUUUUAUUCCAGUUUGAUGAAAAUGAAAUUGAUUACACUGAAUAUAAAAAUGAUAUAAUUCAUUUUUUUAAUUAUUUAAUUAAUUUGUUAUAUGAACAUAAUAAAAUUACGGAAGCACAAUUUUUGUAUUUACUUAUAUAUAAUAACCCUUGUAUAUUUCAAAUGUCGUCACAUUUAUUUAAAAAAAGUCAUAAAAUUCAAAAUUAUUCUUUUGUGGAUCUGAAAGAUACACAUUCCAAAGAUUUUAAUAACAAUUAUUAUAAUACCACUUCCAAUAGUCCACAUGUACCAAUGAAUAACACACACAACAGUUAUACAAGUAUAAAUACAGCUCUGUUAACAGACGAUGUUUCGAACGAAAUUUGUUCUUUUAAGCAGUUUGAUAUAUUUUUUUUUCAAAUAUGUGAAAUAUAUGAAUAUUUAUGUAGGUACCAAGAAGAUAGUUUUUUUUAUGAAGAAUUAAUAUUUUAUAAAAUAAUAUAUACUUUUACAUUAUUAGAUAUGGGUAUAUUAGAGCAAGCAAAACAGUACAUUGAUUUUUUACAUUAUUAUAUAGAUGUAAUAAAAAGUAAAAAAAAAAAAAAUUAUAAUAAAAUAAUUUGUUUAUAUGAAUUACUUUUAGAAAAGUCAAAAUAUAUUUUCUUUUCACCUGUUUCAGCAAUUAAUGGAAUAUUAAAAAUACAGUAUAAAACUGUUAACAUCUGCCGGAACCCCAGUUACAACAAUUAUAGUAACAUAGAUACUAGUAAUGUCAUUAUAAGAAAACACAUUGCGACACCACUAAAUUUAACAAAAAAUGAAGACACUUUGUUAAUGGAAGAAACACAUGCAGUUAGAAUGAAAGAAACACAUGCAAUUAGAAUGAAAGAAACACAUGCAAUUAGAAUGAAAGAAACACAUGCAGCUAGAAUGAAAGAAACACAUGCAGCUAGAAUGAUAGAAACACAAUCAGAGGUCCAAAUAGCAAAUAGCUACUCUAACAUAACAAACAAUUAUUACAAUAAAAUUAAUGAAAUGACAUUCGCUAGCAUAAAUAAUGAACAAGUUGCUAAUAAUAUUAGUCAUAAUAAUAGUAUAUAUCAUAAUGAAAUAAAAAAUAAAGAUUAUAAAGAGGGUACAAAAGAAUAUAAAGAAAAAAGCUAUGACAUAUAUGUUAUGACUAAUCCGUUUGAUAAUACUAUUACUACUGCAACUGCUGCUACUAGCGACGAUUUUAAUAAUGACAAUAUUCAUAUAAUUAAUCACGUAAAUGUAAAUAAUAAUAAUAAUAAUGAUGAAGGGACUGAUAGUGUAGUACCGUUUUAUAAAGUUAAUAAUGUAGCAUUUACGGGUGAUAGUAUAGACACCUCGUUAGAUUUUAAAAAACAAGUAAAAGGUAAUAUUAACAAAUGUAAUAGCCCUAGCAAUAGUAAAUUUAUAUCGAACAUAAACAAUAGUAGCAGUAUCAAUUAUAAUGUAAGCUAUGACAAUAGUUACCAUAAAGAAAGUGGACAUAAUUAUUAUGACAAUACUAAUUAUGAAUCGGAAUAUGUUUCAAAUCAAGAAUAUAACACAAUUAAAAAUGACGAGAAUGGUAGUAGUAGUAAUAAUAAUAAUAAUAAUAAUAAUAUAAAUAUAAAUAAUAAUAUAAAUAAUAUUAAUACAAAUAAUGUUAAUACAAAUAAUGUUAAUACAAAUAAUGUUAAUACAAAUAAUGUUGAUAUAAAUAAUGUUAAUAUAAAUAAUGUUAAUAUAAAUAAUGUUAAUACAAAUAAUGUUGAUAUAAAUAAUGUUAAUAUAAAUAAUGUUAAUAUGCCAAAUUUUCAGUUAAACAACGAUUAUAUAAAUAAUAACAAUGACUAUUCACAAUAUGAGGAAAAAAAAAAUAUGACACUUAUAAAUGAAAAUGCUACCACCAUACCAUAUUAUCAUUAUGGAAAUAUAAAUCAUCCUUUAAAAAAUGAAGAAAGGAAAGAAAAUAUAAUAACUAACAAACCAAAUAAAAACGGAUAUGUUUUAAAUGAAAACAUACAAUAUAAUGAAUUGGACAAUAUUACUGGCUCUAGUUUGAGUUAUCAACAUGACAUUAUGUUAAUAAAUGCGAAUGGGUUUGUGGCGAAUAAUGAUAGUAAUCAUUAUAAUAAUAAUAAUAAUAAUAAUUAUAGUAAUAAUAAUAAUAAUAAUAAUAAUAACAGCAAUAAUAACAACAACAAUAGUAACAAUAUCAAUAGUAAUAAUAGUAAUAGUAAUAGUAAUAAGGUACAAACAAAUCACUUGGCGGAUAGUGCUAAUCUACAAUCGAGUAGUUAUUAUUCCCCAACAAAUAGCCAAAAUAAAUUAAAAGAAAAUAACAUUGAUUUAUUAAAUAGAGGAAAAAAUUUAAUAUCUGGAUUUUUUUCAAACAUAAAAGAAAAAAUAAGUAAAAUAGAAAUGCAACAGCAACAAGAGCAGAAACAAAAACAACAAGAAGAAGAGGAUGAGAAUAUUUUUUAUUAUGAUUAUGAAAAAAAAAGGUGGAGAGAAAAAGGUAUAACGUCUGACGAAGAAAGAGAACGUGAUGAAAAAAUAUUAAAAAAAGAAAUGGACUUGAAAAGUAUUGUACCUCCGCCAGUAACAGAAGGAUAUGGUAAUAUAAACAGAAAAAAUCAGCUAAAUAUUACUGAUGUGCGUAGUCGA